GACGAACGCUGGCGGCGUGCUUAACACAUGCAAGUCGAACGGAAAGGCCCUGCUUUUGUGGGGUGCUCGAGUGGCGAACGGGUGAGUAACACGUGAGUAACCUGCCCUUGACUUUGGGAUAACUUCAGGAAACUGGGGCUAAUACCGGAUAGGAGCUCCUGCUGCAUGGUGGGGGUUGGAAAGUUUCGGCGGUUGGGGAUGGACUCGCGGCUUAUCAGCUUGUUGGUGGGGUAGUGGCUUACCAAGGCUUUGACGGGUGGCCGGCCUGGGAGGGUGACCGGCCACAUUGGGACUGAGGUACGGCCCAGACUCCUACGGGAGGCAGCAGUGGGGAAUAUUGCACAAUGGGCGGAAGCCUGAUGCAGCAACGCCGCGUGCGGGAUGACGGCCUUCGGGUUGUAAACCGCUUUCGCCUGUGACGAAGCGUGAGUGACGGUAAUGGGUAAAGAAGCACCGGCUAACUACGUG
Molecule: ribosomal RNA, 468 nt
Filed under: uncultured bacterium
Lineage: Bacteria
Description: partial 16S ribosomal RNA
Rfam family: Bacterial small subunit ribosomal RNA
Source: RNAcentral